RNAcentral lists this ribosomal RNA (372 nucleotides) under Triticum aestivum (bread wheat). Its description in RNAcentral is "partial small subunit ribosomal RNA". The record is from RNAcentral. Lineage: Eukaryota; Viridiplantae; Streptophyta; Magnoliopsida; Poales; Poaceae.
AUGGGAGCUGAAGGUGUAUUUCCUAAGUCAAACCUUUACAAGAGUACAACGCCUGACCAAUUUAUGGAGGUAGAGGAAGAGCUUAAUAUGCCGAGCCUUGAAUCUCUGGAAAAACGAAUGCUUGUAUCAUCGUCUGGAAAAAUUAACUUCACGAUCUUUUCUCAAUCUGACCACAAAAGGCUUUUUAUGAGGGUUUUUGCAAGCUACAUAUUUGCUCUGGUAAUUGCUUCCUUUCUUCUCGGAAGACCAAAGCAUGCAGCGGGUUUUUGGAUAGGACACUACUUCUCUGGAAGUGGAGUGGAUUAUAUAUACAGUGCUUCCUUCUCCAGCCCACUGGUUGCCUCUUCCUCUCCGAGUAUCAUUUCCAUUUAA